RNAcentral lists this ribosomal RNA (702 nucleotides) under Cryptotaenia japonica. RNAcentral's name for it is "eukaryotic LSU rRNA". The stretch from base 256 to 411 matches the Rfam family "5.8S ribosomal RNA". Lineage: Eukaryota; Viridiplantae; Streptophyta; Magnoliopsida; Apiales; Apiaceae. The record is from RNAcentral.
UCCGUAGGUGAACCUGCGGAAGGAUCAUUGUCGAUGCCUGCAAAGCUAAACGACCCGCGAACAAGUCAAAAAUAUCGGGCGAGCGGUCCAGGGGGCGCAAGCUCUGUGUGUCCGCGAACCCACUGGCGGAGGGCGUCCUCGGAUGCCCGCUGACCACAAACUCACUCCGGCGCGGAAUGCGUCAAGGAAAUAGAACCGAACUGCACGUCCCCUCCUCCGUUCGCGGCGGCGGUGGCGUCUUUCAGAAACACAAACGACUCUCGGCAACGGAUAUCUCGGCUCUCGCAUCGAUGAAGAACGUAGCGAAAUGCGAUACUUGGUGUGAAUUGCAGAAUCCCGUGAACCAUCGAGUCUUUGAACGCAAGUUGCGCCCGAAGCCAUUAGGCGGAGGGCACGUCUGCCUGGGCGUCACGCAUCGCGUCGCCCCCAAACCACGCACUCCUCAGAAGACUGCGCAGGUUGGGGGGCGGAUAAUGGCCUCCCGUGCUUUGUGGCAUGGUUGGCCCAAAAACGAGUCCCCGGUGACAUGAUGUCGCGGCAUGUGGUGGUUGUAAAAAGGCCGUCUCAUAGUGUCGCGUUGUUGCCUUGUCCCCGGUGCGAUCUCAUGUGACCCUCUGGCACCCCCAAAAGGUGUGUGCUCGACCGCGACCCCAGGUCAGGCGGGACUACCCGCUGAGUUUAAGCAUAUCAAUAAGCGGAGGA